CACUGAGGCAAAUGACUCUGUUUGAACUGUUCCAUUUGAGAGAAAUUGUUUGCGUAAUAAUCUACUGUAAACUGACGAGCCACUCUCGUGUAUCUCGAGAAUUUUUCAAAAAAAAUGCAUGAUCUUUCUUAGCCUGAUUUCAAUCUCCAAUCUGGAAGCAGAGGGACAAGAAGAGCUGAUUUUUCAUCAUGUUUGUAUCUUAGUGUAUAGUACUCGUUCAUGGGAAUAAAUCUUGAAUGUCAAGGAUAUCAGCUAGGACACCAGCUGCUGUGGUAUCAUUUCCUGCUCCAGCACCUUGGAUAACCAAAGGUUGUUUCUCGUAACAACGGCUGUAUAUCUCCACCACAUUAUCACUUCCUCUUAAUCUUCCCAAAGCAGAAUCUUUUGGAACUUCU
RNAcentral lists this unclassified non-coding RNA (395 nucleotides) under Hevea brasiliensis (rubber tree). The record is from RNAcentral. Lineage: Eukaryota; Viridiplantae; Streptophyta; Magnoliopsida; Malpighiales; Euphorbiaceae.